Equus caballus (horse) is the source of this 145-nucleotide microRNA precursor. Lineage: Eukaryota; Metazoa; Chordata; Mammalia; Perissodactyla; Equidae. The record is from Ensembl.
GGCAGAUUCUCCACUUUGAUCCGUUCUGUGUGCAGUGCCCUACCCAGCAAGGUACUGAUCGCUUAGACGAGGUAUGAUCAGUGCCUGUCUGGGUGGAGUAAUGCUCAACAAGAACAACAUUUGGGAGGUUAGUCAGACUGGUGCU